AUACGGAGGAUCCGAGCGUCAUCCGGAUUUAUUGGGUUUAAAGGGUGCGCAGGCGGCCAUUUAAGUCAGCGGUUAAAUCGUGGGGCUCAACCCCAUUCUGCCGUUGAUACUGGGUGGCUUGAUUGCGGUCGAGGUUGGCGGAAUUCGUUGUGUAGCGGGGAAAUGCAUAGAUAUGACGAAGAACACCGAUUGCGUAGGCAGCUGACCAGACCGCAAAUGACGCUCAUGCACGAAAGUGCGGGGAUCGAACAGGAUUAGAUACCCUGGUAGUCCGCACAGUAAACGAUGAAUACUUGUUUUCGGCGAUAUAAUGUCGGAGGCAAAGCGAAAGCGAUAAGUAUUCCACCUGGGGAGUACGCCGGCAACGGUGAAACUCAAAUGAAUUGACGGGG
RNAcentral lists this ribosomal RNA (392 nucleotides) under uncultured bacterium. RNAcentral describes it as "partial 16S ribosomal RNA". It matches the Rfam family "Bacterial small subunit ribosomal RNA", at positions 523 to 918 of the family's 1533-position model. The record is from RNAcentral.